UCAACGAAGAUAUCCAUCCGAAGGAGUGAAACGACACCGUAUUCGAAUACCAAUUUCAUUGAAUUGGUGACGGUCACGAAUUAGGGCUGGAUAUUUGGCAGCUUGGCGUUUGAAUUCAGCGUCUUGUAGACGAAUUGGGUUUUUCACUUCGAGGCGUGCUAUAUUUCUUGGACUGGAGAAUUCAGCCGCCGACCGGCGUCGAAAGUCUCGCCGGAGAUGAUGACGGUUAAUUUUGAAGAACUCAUCGAGAAAUGGAACAAAUUUGCAAGAUCGUAU
RNAcentral lists this long non-coding RNA (276 nucleotides) under Erythranthe guttata (spotted monkey flower). RNAcentral describes it as "long non-coding RNA (EGUT_LNC003539)". Lineage: Eukaryota; Viridiplantae; Streptophyta; Magnoliopsida; Lamiales; Phrymaceae. The record is from RNAcentral.